RNAcentral lists this ribosomal RNA (274 nucleotides) under uncultured bacterium. RNAcentral describes it as "partial 16S ribosomal RNA". It matches the Rfam family "Bacterial small subunit ribosomal RNA", at positions 523 to 796 of the family's 1533-position model. The record is from RNAcentral.
AUACGUAGGGUGCGAGCGUUAAUCGGAAUUACUGGGCGUAAAGCGUGCGCAGGUGGUUUUGUAAGUCAGAUGUGAAAUCCCCGGGCUUAACCUGGGAACUGCGUUUGAAACUGCAAGGCUAGAGUGUGGCAGAGGGGGGUGGAAUUCCGCGUGUAGCAGUGAAAUGCGUAGAGAUGUGGAGGAACACCGAUGGCGAAGGCAGCCCCCUGGGUCAGCACUGACGCUCAGGCACGAAAGCAUGGGGAGCAAACAGGAUUAGAAACCCCGGUAGUCC